This 447-nucleotide long non-coding RNA is filed under the name Vigna radiata. RNAcentral describes it as "long non-coding RNA (VRAD_LNC013008)". Lineage: Eukaryota; Viridiplantae; Streptophyta; Magnoliopsida; Fabales; Fabaceae. The record is from RNAcentral.
ACUCAACUGUUUAGGAGGUCACUCUACUCUCUACUGUUCACAUGUCACAUAAAANAAUGUUGUCAUUCAUCUAAAACAAUCAAAAUCUUUCACAUGCAAAUGUCAUCACAAGGACUUUUUCCAAGGCUUGUAUUGUGGCUGGGCUAACAAAAAAAUUGGUUUUUUUGGAAUACAAAAUCCUUGAGUUAAGAGAGUUUAAAUCAUCAUUCAAAGUUCAAGCACACUCUCUUUUUGACCAUUCUCACUCAUUCUCAACUUUUCCCUUUUUCAUUUUACAUUGAGUUCUUUUUUUACAUGCAUAAACUCUUUUCUUCUUUUCUUUUCUUUUCACAUGCAUUUUUCUUUUUCAUUCUUUUGAACUCAAUGCUUUUCUUUUUCUUUUGCCUUUCAGUUUCCCCAUUCAACCCCAAACUUGAACCUUUUCAAGACAUAUAAUUAUUCUCAACC